This is a long non-coding RNA of Cydia pomonella (codling moth), 1064 nucleotides long. RefSeq lists it as uncharacterized. The transcript is spliced from 5 exons. The record is from RefSeq and is a predicted model, not a curated record. NCBI's taxonomy places the organism in Eukaryota, Metazoa, Arthropoda, Insecta, Lepidoptera, Tortricidae.
UUUUAAUUAUUAUUACAAAACUUUUGUAAUAUUAAAAGAAAACAUUUCUUAUUGCAUCAUGAAGACCAUCAAGACCAAGUUUCAAUAAGUUUAAUUAAUUCAUCGAUAGCAUAUGAUUAAUAUUUUUUAUUUAUAAUUCAUUCAAUUAAUCAUACUUAUUUCUUUUUAAUUUUUCAGGCUCUAAUGAAUGAAUCCGGGUUGCUGGAUGAGUUGGGUGACCCUGAAUCUACCCUUUAGAUACGUAAGGCGUUUUUGAGUAAGCUGAUAUGUAAUUAGUCCUCCUAAUUAUAUUAUGACGACAUUUUAUAAAUGUUCCAAGUAACGAGGUAUCGAGUGCCACUGAAUGCUGUCCUGUUAUUUUAUUUUGAGCUAAACUACCACAUUCAGCAUCUCUACACUCGACCCGCGACCCCAAGAACCAGUGUUCUUCUACUCUAGACUUGGUAAUAUUAGUCCCUACAAUGCAAGUUACAUCGAUAGAGUGAAGCCAAGAGGAGAAAAAAUUAUAUUGAUAAAUAUUAUAAUAUAUAGAUAUAAUUUAAAAAAUUUCAAGAAAAAUCCAAAUCAUAUUGUUCACAUUCCAGUUUUCUUACGGCAGCAAAAAUGUAGCCGACGAGGCUACUCUAUGUAAUAAACUAUUUAUAUACAUAAUCCUGGUCAUUCCGGCACCAAAAAUGUACCUUACCCCAUCUACUACUAAACUAAUUAACUAAAAUUCAACCAGGAUUAAAUAAAAAUAGGAAAAUAAAUAAAAUUUGGCCAUGUGAUCGUCUAGUGUAUUUACAUUGUGAACCUUAGUACCCUUCGUCUUUUAUGUGAAAACUGAUACGAUUUGGAUUUUUCAAAACUAUCCCUAAAUAUCCUAUGAAUUUGUAAAUAUUCCUACUGUAUAUUUUUAUUAACACUAUUGUUAGACAAAUAAAAAAAAAUAGUAAAUAAUAUAUAUUUUUUAGAAUUUAUCUCCUACCGGGCCCUACCGUGACCAGUUACCGUGAACAGUAGUAAGCCCUUUUUGUUUGUAAUUUAAAAACUUAUAUUUUCCUUUUAAUAUAUCUCUUCGCUAA